UAAGCAGAUGCAGGAUACUGGCUCUGGAGA
This 30-nucleotide non-coding RNA is filed under the name Homo sapiens (human). Lineage: Eukaryota; Metazoa; Chordata; Mammalia; Primates; Hominidae. The record is from RNAcentral.